AUUGAACGCUGGCGGCAUGCCUUACACAUGCAAGUCGAACGGUAACAGGUUAAGCUGACGAGUGGCGAACGGGUGAGUAAUGUAUCGGAACGUGCCCAGUCGUGGGGGAUAACUGCUCGAAAGAGCAGCUAAUACCGCAUACGACCUGAGGGUGAAGGCGGGGGAUCGCAAGACCUCGCGCGAUUGGAGCGGCCGAUAUCAGAUUAGGUAGUUGGGGAGGUAAAGGCUCACCAAGCCGACGAUCUGUAGCUGGUCUGAGAGGACGACCAGCCACACUGGGACUGAGACACGGCCCAGACUCCUACGGGAGGCAGCAGUGGGGAAUUUUGGACAAUGGGCGCAAGCCUGAUCCAGCCAUGCCGCGUGCGGGAAGAAGGCCUUCGGGUUGUAAACCGCUUUUGUCAGGGAAGAAAAGGUUCUGGCUAAUACCUGGGACUCAUGACGGUACCUGAAGAAUAAGCACCGGCUAACUACGUG
RNAcentral lists this ribosomal RNA (477 nucleotides) under uncultured bacterium. RNAcentral's name for it is "partial 16S ribosomal RNA". It matches the Rfam family "Bacterial small subunit ribosomal RNA", at positions 30 to 507 of the family's 1533-position model. The record is from RNAcentral.